This 497-nucleotide ribosomal RNA is filed under the name uncultured bacterium. Its description in RNAcentral is "partial 16S ribosomal RNA". It matches the Rfam family "Bacterial small subunit ribosomal RNA", at positions 28 to 507 of the family's 1533-position model. The record is from RNAcentral.
GAUGAACGCUGGCGGCGUGCCUAAUACAUGCAAGUCGAGCGAACAGACGAGGAGCUUGCUCCUCUGACGUUAGCGGCGGACGGGUGGGUAACACGUGGAUAACCUACCUAUAAGACUGGGAUAACUUCGGGAAACCGGAGCUAAUACCGGAUAAUAUAUUGAACCGCAUGGUUCAAUAGUGAAAGACGGUUUUGCUGUCACUUAUAGAUGGAUCCGCGCCGCAUUAGCUAGUUGGUAAGGUAACGGCUUACCAAGGCAACGAUGCGUAGCCGACCUGAGAGGGUGAUCGGCCACACUGGAACUGCGACACGGUCCAGACUCCUACGGGAGGCAGCAGUAGGGAAUCUUCCGCAAUGGGCGAAAGCCUGACGGAGCAACGCCGCGUGAGUGAUGAAGGUCUUCGGAUCGUAAAACUCUGUUAUUAGGGAAGAACAAAUGUGUAAGUAACUAUGCACGUCUUGACGGUACCUAAUCAGAAAGCCACGGCUAACUACGUG